Paramuricea clavata is the source of this 374-nucleotide non-coding RNA. The record is from the annotation of a GenBank genome assembly. Lineage: Eukaryota; Metazoa; Cnidaria; Anthozoa; Malacalcyonacea; Plexauridae.
AUGGUUGACAUGAUAUGCCAAUAAGCUUGGAAAUUAUUAAUGAGUUUUUAAAAUAUAUACAGCGUUUACAUACAACACUACAGCAAACUUUUUGUUUCCGAUGAACAACUAUCUGUCAUCUCUCCGUGACCGAAAUAGAGCAAUGGUCAGAAAAUGAUCUCACCUCCACUGGAGCACGACAUUCUGGGCACUCCAAGCCACAUUCAUGCUCGGAAAGUUUCACGAUACAUUCAUAACAAUAUGAAUGAAGACACGGGAAUACUUUGGGGUUGUUUAGCAACUCAUGACACACAGCACACUUGACUAGUUCUUCCAAUUUUUCAAUGGUCUUUGACCGAUGUUUUUUGGCUGGUUUUGAUAACAACAUUCUUUAC